GACGAACGCUGGCGGCGCGCCUAACACAUGCAAGUCGAACGGAGUCAAGAGGAGCUUGCUUUUCUUGACUUAGUGGCGAACGGGUGAGUAACGCGUGAGUAACCUGCCCUGGAGUGGGGGACAACAGUUGGAAACGACUGCUAAUACCGCAUAAGCCCACGGAUCCGCAUGGAUCUGCGGGAAAAGGAUUUAUUCGCUUCAGGAUGGACUCGCGUCCAAUUAGCUAGUUGGUGAGGUAACGGCCCACCAAGGCGACGAUUGGUAGCCGGACUGAGAGGUUGAACGGCCACAUGGGGACUGAGACACGGCCCAGACUCCUACGGGAGGCAGCAGUGGGGGAUAUUGCACAAUGGGGGAAACCCUGAUGCAGCGACGCCGCGUGGAGGAAGAAGGUUUUCGGAUUGUAAACUCCUGUCGUUAGGGACGAUAAUGACGGUACCUAACAAGAAAGCACCGGCUAACUACGUG
This 468-nucleotide ribosomal RNA is filed under the name uncultured bacterium. RNAcentral's name for it is "partial 16S ribosomal RNA". It matches the Rfam family "Bacterial small subunit ribosomal RNA", at positions 28 to 507 of the family's 1533-position model. The record is from RNAcentral.